GUAGGAGGCGAGCGUUAUCCGGAUUUACUGGGCGUAAAGCGCGGGUCGGUGGUGACUUAAGUCAUGCGUGAAAGCCCUCGGCUUAACCGGGGGAGGUCGUGUGAAACUGGGUCGCUGGAGGAUGGGAGAGGCAGACGGAAUUCCGGGUGGAGUGGUGAAAUGCGUAGAGAUCCGGAGGAACACCAGUGGCGAAGGCGGUCUGCUAGCCCAUACCUGACACUCAGACGCGAAAGCAUGGGGAGCGAACGGGAUUAGAAACCCCGGUAGUCCAUGCUGUAAACGAUGCAUACUAGGCGUUGGGCACUCAUUGAGUGCUCAGUGCCGCAGCCAACGCGCUAAGUAUGCCGCCUGGGGACUACGAGCGCAAGCUUAAA
RNAcentral lists this ribosomal RNA (374 nucleotides) under uncultured bacterium. RNAcentral describes it as "bacterial SSU rRNA". It matches the Rfam family "Bacterial small subunit ribosomal RNA", at positions 527 to 898 of the family's 1533-position model. The record is from RNAcentral.